RNAcentral lists this ribosomal RNA (437 nucleotides) under uncultured bacterium. RNAcentral's name for it is "partial 16S ribosomal RNA". It matches the Rfam family "Bacterial small subunit ribosomal RNA", at positions 338 to 795 of the family's 1533-position model. The record is from RNAcentral.
CCUACGGGCAGCAGUGGGGGAUAUUGCACAAUGGGGGAAACCCUGAUGCAGCGACGCCGCGUGGGUGAAGAAGCGCCCCGGCGCGUAAAGCCCUGGCAGCAGGGAAGAAAAUGACGGUACCUGAAGAAGAAGCCCCGGCUAACUACGUGCCAGCAGCCGCAGUAAUACGGAGGGGGCAGGCGUUAUCCGGAUUUACUGGGUGUAAAGGGGGCGCAGACGGCGAUGCAAGCCAGGAGUGAAAGCCCGGGGCCCAACCCCGGGACUGCUCUUGGAACUGCGUGGCUAGAGUGCAGGAGGGGCAGGCGGAAUUCCUGGUGUAGCGGUGAAAUGCGUAGAUAUCAGGAGGAACACCGGUGGCGAAGGCGGCCUGCUGGACUGCAACUGACGUUGAGGCCCGAAAGCGUGGGGAGCAAACAGGAUUAGAUACCCGAGUAGUC